AAUGGGGGAAACCCUGACGCAGCAACGCCGCGUGGGUGAUAAAGGCCUUCGGGUCGUAAAGCCCUGUCGGGAGGGAAGAAAUGAUUGUGAGCUAAUACCUCGUGAUCUUGACGGUACCUCCGAAGGAAGCACCGGCUAACUCCGUGCCAGCAGCCGCGGUAAUACGGAGGGUGCAAGCGUUGUUCGGAAUUACUGGGCGUAAAGCGCGUGUAGGCGGUCUUUUAAGUCUGAUGUGAAAGCCCCGGGCUCACCCUGGGAAGUGCAUUGGAAACUGGGAGACUUGAGUACGGGAGAGGAGCGUGGAAUUCCUAGUGUAGGAGUGAAAUCCGUAGAUAUUAGGAGGAACACCGGUUGCGAAGGCGGCUCUCUGGACCGAUACCGACGCUGAGACGCGAAAGCGUGGGUAGCAAA
Molecule: ribosomal RNA, 411 nt
Filed under: uncultured bacterium
Lineage: Bacteria
Description: bacterial SSU rRNA
Rfam family: Bacterial small subunit ribosomal RNA
Source: RNAcentral